Molecule: ribosomal RNA, 505 nt
Filed under: uncultured bacterium
Lineage: Bacteria
Description: bacterial SSU rRNA
Rfam family: Bacterial small subunit ribosomal RNA
Source: RNAcentral
AGUUUGAUCAUGGCUCAGGAUGAACGCUAGCGGCAGGCUUAAUACAUGCAAGUCGUGGGGCAGCAGGUUUGUAGCAAUACAGAUGCUGGCGACCGGCAAACGGGUGCGGAACACGUACAGAACCUUCCUUUGAGCGGGGAAUAGCCCAGAGAAAUUUGGAUUAAUACCCCAUAGUAUAAUGAAGUGGCGUCACUUUAUUAUUAAAGAUUUAUCACUCGAAGAUGGCUGUGCGGCUGAUUAGGUAGUUGGCGGGGUAAAGGCCCACCAAGCCUGCGAUCAGUAACUGGUGUGAGAGCACGACCAGUCACACGGGCACUGAGACACGGGCCCGACUCCUACGGGAGGCAGCAGUAAGGAAUAUUGGUCAAUGGAGGCAACUCUGAACCAGCCAUGCCGCGUGGAGGAUGAAGGUCCUCUGGAUUGUAAACUUCUUUUAUAUGGGACGAAAAAGGCUUUUCUAAGUCGUCUGACGGUACCAUAUGAAUAAGCACCGGCUAACUCCGUG